AGUGGCCACACUGUUUUGCAUUCCCACCAGCACUGUAUAAGGGGUUCCCUUGUCUCCACAUUCUGGCCAACACUUGCUCUCUCUUGUUUUUUGGACAAUAGCCCUCCUAACAGAUUAAAUAAACUUCUUGGAGCCAAAAAUCAUCACUUUGUAUUCCAUAGAUUACCCGGAGUAUUGCUAAAGUCCUAAAGCAAGAAUCACAAACUCAGGUGGCUACAGGAGUUUAUUAGAGUUGCUCUGUGCGAUAGAACUUUCUGUGAAGAUGGGAAUAUUCUAUCUGUACUGUCCAACACCAUAGCCACUACAUAUCUUUAGCUAUUGAGCACUUGAAAUGGACUAGUAUAAUUGAGAAACCAAAAUAUUUUAUUUUAAUAAAUUUAAAUAACCACAUGUAGCAAAUAGGUGCCCUAUUUGGACAGCACAGAAUUAGAGUAAUGUUAGAUUCCAUGCAACUAAACCAAAAUUUCAAUGAUUUAACCUAAGAGUUUUCUUUUUCACAUAAUAGCCCAAGUCUAGUGUGAAUAUUUCUGUAUGCCUGGGGCAGGUCUUGCUUCUUCAUCUUGUAGCUUCAUCAUCCCUUAAGACCUUGGAAAUCUUUGCUUCCAGCCGGCAAAAGGAGAGAAAAGUCCACUUCUUACAAACCCCAGGCUGAGAGUCAGAAAGAUCACUCUGCUGACCUUCAGUUAGUGAGAUCUAGUCACAUGGCCGCCUCUGAAUGCAAGGAACUGGAAAAUGUAGUCCCUGACUAGACAGCCACUAUCCAGCAAUAAAUUCAACGCUAUGGUAGGAGGAAUACAAAAUUUUGAUGGUUAAUUCUGCCACAAGAGACCAAGCAAGUAAUAUACGAAAGUCAAAAUGGGCCAGAUGUCAGUGUAUAUGCAUUCACUGUAUGAGGCAAGCAGAGCUGUGGCAUGCCCCAAACACAGAGAAAUUAUUAUUCGUUUUCAACCAGUGUUGUUCUGUUUUCAGGUGGGACCAGUGUUGCCAGAUCUUUUAGUUUUAGGAUUUGGGGUUUUGGUUUUUUGUAAUGAAAAUCUGAAACUCACAUUUUUAUGUGAAAUAUCCCUAAUUUUAAAAGAUUAUGAAUAAAACUGCUACAAACAUUCAUGUACAAGUUUUUCUCAAACAACUGUUAUGUUUAACUUUUAAGAAAUUGCUAAAUUGUUUUCCUAAAUUGCUGUACCAUAUUUCAUUCCUGCCAACAAUAGAUGACAGUUCCGAUUGCUCUGCAUCCAACCCUCGGUGUUGUCAGUAUUUCUAAUUUUAGCCAUUCUGAUAGGUAUGUAGUGUUAGCUCAUAAGGUUUUUAAUUUCACUUCCUUAUUGGCUAAUGAUGUUGAACAUUUUACAUGUGCUUAUUGGCCAUCUUUAUAUCAUGUUUGAUCAAGUGUUCAUUCAAAUCUUUUUCCCAUUUUUAAUUGGUUUGCUUGUUUUCUUACUGUUGAGUUUUGGGAGUUCAUGUAUUCUUUGUACAGAUUUACACAAGCCUUUUGUUGGGUAUGUGAUUUGCCAAUACUUUUUCCUAAUCUGUAGUUUGUGUUUGCAUUUUCUUAACAGUGUCUUUCUUGGAGCAAAAACUUCUCAAUUUUGAUGAACUUUUUGUCUAACUCUAGGUCACAAAGAUUUUUUCCUGUAUUUUAUUACAAAAAUUUAUAAUUUUACAUUUAGAUCUACAAUUAAUAUGAGUUAAUUUUUGUGUAAGGUUUAGAUCGAGGUUCAUUUGUUUGCAUUUGGAUGUCCAGUUGUCCUAACACCAUUUGUGGACAAAUAAAAGGGGAAUUUUGUAGGCUGCCACGAGGAAAUAAGCAAAAGAAAUUUCUUAACUUCUGUAUUCUCACUAUAGGACUUUCUAUAAGGCUUUCUCGUUCCCAUUGUGUAGUAAGUGCAUUUGCUAUAAUGUUUUGACAUUCUUUGAAAAUUGUCUAAUUUUAAUCAAGAGCAUAUUCAUUUAUGAACGCUUACCACAGUAAAUCCUAACUACGUUAUUCCUUUAGAUUGAGUGUAAGCCUCUAACCAAAUGCCUGAAGUUUAUCUUCUAGCAAACAUGGGAAUAAGCCCAAUCAA
Equus quagga is the source of this 2063-nucleotide long non-coding RNA. RefSeq lists it as uncharacterized. Lineage: Eukaryota; Metazoa; Chordata; Mammalia; Perissodactyla; Equidae. The record is from RefSeq and is a predicted model, not a curated record. The transcript is spliced from 3 exons.